UACGUAGGGUGCAAGCGUUAAUCGGAAUUACUGGGCGUAAAGCGUGCGCAGGCGGUCCGUUAAGACAGAUGUGAAAUCCCCGGGCUUAACCUGGGAACUGCGUUUGAAACUACAAGGCUAGAGUGUGGCAGAGGGGGGUGGAAUUCCGACGUGUAGCAGUGAAAUGCGUAGAGAUGUGGAGGAACACCGGUGGCGAAGGCGGGUCUCUGGGCAGUAACUGACGCUGAGGAGCGAAAGCGUGGGGAGCGAACAGG
Molecule: ribosomal RNA, 254 nt
Filed under: uncultured bacterium
Lineage: Bacteria
Description: partial 16S ribosomal RNA
Rfam family: Bacterial small subunit ribosomal RNA
Source: RNAcentral